GAGUUUGAUCAUGGCUCAGGACGAACGCUGGCGGCGUGCCUAAUACAUGCAAGUAGAACGCUGAAGAGAGGAGCUUGCUCUUCUUGGAUGAGUUGCGAACGGGUGAGUAACGCGUAGGUAACCUGCCUGGUAGCGGGGGAUAACUAUUGGAAACGAUAGCUAAUACCGCAUAAAAUUGAUUAUUGCAUGAUAAUUAAUUGAAAGAUGCAAUUGCAUCACUACCAGAUGGACCUGCGUUGUAUUAGCUAGUUGGUGAGGUAACGGCUCACCAAGGCGACGAUACAUAGCCGACCUGAGAGGGUGAUCGGCCACACUGGGACUGAGACACGGCCCAGACUCCUACGGGAGGCAGCAGUAGGGAAUCUUCGGCAAUGGGGGGAACCCUGACCGAGCAACGCCGCGUGAGUGAAGAAGGUUUUCGGAUCGUAAAGCUCUGCUGUAAGAGAAGAACGGGUGUGAGAGUGGAAAGUUCACACUGUGACGGUAUCUUACCAGAAAGGGACGGCUAACUACGUGCCAGCAGCCGCGGUAAUACGUAGGUCCCGAGCGUUGUCCGGAUUUAUUGGGCGUAAAGCGAGCGCAGGGCGGUUAGAUAAGUCUGAAGUUAAAGGCUGUGGCUUAACCAUAGUAUGCUUUGGAAACUGUUUAACUUGAGUGCAGAAGGGGAGAGUGGAAUUCCAUGUGUAGCGGUGAAAUGCGUAGAUAUAUGGAGGAACACCGGUGGCGAAAGCGGCUCUCUGGUCUGUAACUGACGCUGAGGCUCGAAAGCGUGGGGAGCAAACAGGAUUAGAUACCCUGGUAGUCCACGCCGUAAGCGAUGAGUGCUAGGUGUUAGGCCCUUUCCGGGGCUUAGUGCCGCAGCUAACGCAUUAAGCACUCCGCCUGGGGAGUACGACCGCAAGGUUGAAACUCAAAGGAAUUGACGGGGGCCCGCACAAGCGGUGGAGCAUGUGGUUUAAUUCGAAGCAACGCGAAGAACCUUACCAGGUCUUGACAUCCCUCUGACCGCUCUAGAGAUAGAGUUUUCCUUCGGGACAGAGGUGACAGGUGGUGCAUGGUUGUCGUCAGCUCGUGUCGUGAGAUGUUGGGUUAGGUCCCGCAACGAGCGCAACCCCUAUUGUUAGUUGCCAUCAUUGAGUUGGGCACUCUAGCGAGACUGCCGGUAAUAAACCGGAGGAAGGUGGGGAUGACGUCAAAUCAUCAUGCCCCUUAUGACCUGGGCUACACACGUGCUACAAUGGCUGGUACAACGAGUCGCAAGCCGGUGACGGCAAGCUAAUCUCUGAAAGCCAGUCUCAGUUCGGAUUGUAGGCUGCAACUCGCCUACAUGAAGUCGGAAUCGCUAGUAAUCGCGGAUCAGCACGCCGCGGUGAAUACGUUCCCGGGCCUUGUACACACCGCCCGUC
Molecule: ribosomal RNA, 1406 nt
Filed under: uncultured bacterium
Lineage: Bacteria
Description: bacterial SSU rRNA
Rfam family: Bacterial small subunit ribosomal RNA
Source: RNAcentral